RNAcentral lists this long non-coding RNA (949 nucleotides) under Homo sapiens (human). Its description in RNAcentral is "non-protein coding lnc-MTRNR2L1-3:1". The record is from RNAcentral. Lineage: Eukaryota; Metazoa; Chordata; Mammalia; Primates; Hominidae.
GUCCAUAACUAACCUUCUACUUCUUAUUGUACCUAUCCUAAUCGCCAUGGCAUUCUUCAUGCUAACUGAAUGAAAAAUCCUAGGCUACAUGCAACUACGCAAAGGGCCCAAUAUUGUAGGCCCCUAUGGACUAUUACAACCUUUUGCCGAUGCCAUAAAACUCUUUACCAAAGAAUCCUUAAAACCCUCAACGUCAACUGUUACCCUCUACAUCACUGCCCCAACCUUAGCCCUCUCUAUUGCCCUUCUACUAUGAACUCCCCUCCCUAUACCUAACCCCCUAGUUAAUCUUAACUUAGGCCUUCUAUUCAUUCUGGCUACAUCCAGCCUAGCUGUCUACUCUAUCCUAUGAUCAGGAUGAGCAUCAAACUCAAACUAUGCCCUGAUCGGCGCAUUAUGAGCAGUUGCCCAAACAAUUUCAUACGAAGUUACCCUAGCUAUCAUCCUAUUAUCGAUCCUACUAAUAAGUGGCCAAUUCAAUCUCUGCACCCUCAUUAGAACACAAGAACACCUCUGACUACUCCUAACAUCAUGACCCCUAGCUAUAAUAUGAUUUAUUUCCACACUAGCAGAAACCAAUCGAGCUGCUUUUGACCUUACUGAAGGAGAAUCAGAACUAGUCUCAGGCUUCAACAUUGAAUAUGCUGCAGGCCCAUUCGCCCUAUUCUUUAUAGCCGAAUACAUAAAUAUCAUUAAAAUAAAUGCCCUAACUGCCAUAAUCUUCCUAGGUACAAUAUAUAAUAUUCACCUACCAGAACUCUACACAAUAUGCUUCACCAUUAAAACCCUAUUCCUAACCUCUCUAUUUUUAUGAAUCCGAACAGCAUACCCCCGAUUCCACUACGAUCAACUCAUGUAUCUCUUAUGAAAAAAUUUCUUACCAUUUACACUAGCACUACUUAUAUGAUACAUCUCAAUAUCCGCUACAAUUUCCAACAUUCCCCCCUAA